Molecule: ribosomal RNA, 490 nt
Filed under: uncultured bacterium
Lineage: Bacteria
Description: partial 16S ribosomal RNA
Rfam family: Bacterial small subunit ribosomal RNA
Source: RNAcentral
AUUGAACGCUGGCGGCAGGCCUAACACAUGCAAGUCGAACGGUAACAGGAAACAGCUUGCUGUUUCGCUGACGAGUGGCGGACGGGUGAGUAAUGUCUGGGAAACUGCCUGAUGGAGGGGGAUAACUACUGGAAACGGUAGCUAAUACCGCAUAACGUCGCAAGACCAAAGAGGGGGACCCUCGGGCCUCUUGCCAUCGGAUGUGCCCAGAUGGGAUUAGCUUGUUGGUGGGGUAACGGCUCACCAAGGCGACGAUCCCUAGCUGGUCUGAGAGGAUGACCAGCCACACUGGAACUGAGACACGGUCCAGACUCCUACGGGAGGCAGCAGUGGGGAAUAUUGCACAAUGGGCGCAAGCCGGAUGCAGCCAUGCCGCGUGUAUGAAGAAGGCCUUCGGGUUGUAAAGUACUUUCAGCGGGGAGGAAGGGAGUAAAGUUAAUACCUUUGCUCAUUGACGUUACCCGCAGAAGAAGCACCGGCUAACUCCGUG